Molecule: ribosomal RNA, 297 nt
Filed under: uncultured Pseudomonadota bacterium
Lineage: Bacteria; Pseudomonadati; Pseudomonadota
Description: uncultured proteobacterium partial 16S ribosomal RNA
Rfam family: Bacterial small subunit ribosomal RNA
Source: RNAcentral
AACGAACGCUGGCGGCAGGCCUAACACAUGCAAGUCGAACGCCCUAGCAAUAGGGAGUGGCAGACGGGUGAGUAACGCGUGGGAACGUACCCUUCGGUUCGGAAUAAGCCGGGGAAACCUCGGUCUAAUACCGGAUACGUGCGAGAGCAGAAAGAUUUAUCGCCGAAGGAUCGGCCCGCGUCCGAUUAGCUAGUUGGUGAGGUAAAAGCUCACCAAGGCGACGAUCGGUAGCUGGUCUGAGAGGAUGAUCAGCCACACUGGGGACUGAGACACGGCCCAGACUCCUACGGGUGGCUG